AACCAAUCCAACCGUUCUGCACCUCACUUUCGAUUUGUGUACGUCAUUUCCCUUUUUUUGUCUAUAAAUCUUCUUCCACCAUGUGGCUGCACUGGAGUCUCUGUGAAUCUGCUGUGAUUCGGGGGGCUGCCCAAUUCACAAAUCAUUCAUUGCUCAAUUAAACUCCUUUAAAUUUAAUUUGGCUGAAGUUUUUCUUUUAUCAGGUUGUGUCAGAAGUGGGAUUCGAGGUAGAGCCUCUAGCAACCCCCAGGAGUGCUGAGUGAAUAUGCAUGGUACCUGCAGGACCCACUUGUGUCCACUGAUCUCUUGGAGCAGCUGAGGAUUGUGGGACUAUGGUGCAGCCAGCUGGGUCAUUAGGGCCACUCAGGGAAAGAGAACCCAGAAGCCUGGUAUGCCGGCAAAAGGCUAAUUAUUAUGCCAGAGUAUAUUUUCACCAGAUAAAGAAAACUUUUUAUGGUUCACUGAGGACAAUCAACCCCUUCACAAUCCAGAACCUGAAGACUGACUCUUCUGAGAACAUCAGAGAAAGACUGUCCUUCUACACUGCAGCAAAACUUUGGAACCUUGAACCUUGGGUUCAUAAACAACUGAGAGGGGUCCCUCUACACUCUUGGAACUGUACACCCAUUGGAAUCCUUAAGGUAAAACUAACCCAGAAAGUUUCUUCCCAGAAGAAGAUGGCAUCCUUGAUGUGAACAGCUUUUCCCAUGAUCAUGGAUCAAGACUUCUAUAAUGAGACUCUUAUCUUUGAAUAUUUUUUCCUUGUUUAUGCCUCUAUGAAUAAUAGAAAUGAAAAGGGGUUCUAUUAUGUUCAGUUAUAAGGUAUACUUUUAUUUGUGAAGGAUUUUGUAGCCAGCCUUAUACAUGAAUAACCUUAUACUUUGAUAAAGACAAGACGAAGGCCCAAUGUAGGUGAAAAACUUUAAUUGUACAUAUAUUUCCUCAUAAUCAGUAAAAACUCCUCUUAACCCACAUCAUGGGUUAAAGAGAACAUUGUCAGGGGGCCUACACUUUUCUAAAAGGACAUCAUUUGUUAGGUCCUUUUUCCAUGGUUUAGAAUAAAAUAGGCAAUAACUAGAAAUAUAUCCCUCAUAAUAGGCUUUCUAGCAGAUUCUACUGUAAAGACUAUCGUUACACAACAGACUUUAAAUUCUCUUGUGAAAGUUAUGCUAAAUAAUAGAAUUAGCUAAAUAGAAAAGUACCUGUGCAGCUGCUGGCAGCUGUGGCCUAUGGAGGAAUACAUUAAAUGUAGAUUAUAAAAAUUCAGUUGUAGAAGAUUAAUGAAAAGAUCACUUAGUCAAGCAAGUAGACCCUUCAUCUCACUCAUUCUUUAAUCUAUUUUAUUUUAGGUGGUUUGGUUUAUGGGGACCCUGGGUAAGGAGCAUACUCCAAACUCUUGGUAUUAUGCUCCCAAUAGGCAUAAUAAUAGUCUCCCUGGUGCACUGUAUUCUCUCAAAGAUUUUAAAUGAUUGCACGCAGCUAUCUCUAGAACGUCAAAUGGUCUCUCUUCAACUGGAAUGAAAGAGCUGAAAGAAAUAUGUGACCAUGAGGAUACCAUAACCUAUGAACGAUGUGCUGACACCAGAAACACAAAAUGAUGGUAACAGAGUGGUGCUAAGGCCCCGAGUUUUGGUCACACUCUCAUCUAAGUAAGAACCUGACCAAAAAGGGGGAAUUUUUUAAAAAACACAAUUAUGGGAAGCCAUUGUUUUGGACUAAGCUCAUGCACUAGGUCCCAACAAGACAAACCAAACUAAAAUGGAGUCACUCAUGCUAAAUGUGACAUAAUCAAACUAAGGAUACACAUAAAUCCUAGAACAGACCAGGUUUUUUCUCCUGUAAACAGGAUGUUCCAUCAUAAAGAGGUACCCUCUACUCAGUCUUUGUUCCUACCUUUGGAAAACUCACUGUUCUACUGUUUCCCACUGGAUUUCAGGAGCAAAUAAGUACAUUUACUAUGGUGAUAGUGACAACAACUAAAGUUUUGGUCAAUCUCUCAAAAUUGAGAAAAUGACCAAAAGAGGGGAGUUGCUGAAGCAAACUAAAUAUGGCCUGAGAAGGACUUCAUACUUUUAUAUUUGAGUCCUUGUGGAUGAACUGCAACCUAGCUUAAUAGGUAGAUAGAUUGAAAACCUAACAGGAGUAUGCAACUGUAACAAUAGCUGCGUCUUGGCCAAUCCGAGGCUGCACUUCAACUAUUCAUAUACUGCUGAGCGUUCAAACUGUGUUCAAAUACGGCAAACACCAACCUGAAACCAAUCCAGCUGUUUUGUACUUUACUUUCAAUUUCUGUACAUCAUUUACCUUUUUUUGUCUACAAAUCUUCCACCACGUGGCUGCGCUGGAGUCUCUGUGAAUCUGCUGUGAUUCUGGGGGCUGCGCGAUUCGUGAAUCAUUCAUUGCUCAAUUAAACUUUAAAUUUAAUUCGGCUGAAGUUUUUAUCAAGUGUAAACCAAAAAUAAAAAAUAAAUUUAUAAGGCUCCCCAGCCAUCUAAAUGGACUUCCUCCUCGGCCAGGGAACUCUUAAAA
Long non-coding RNA from Gorilla gorilla gorilla (western lowland gorilla), 2529 nucleotides. RefSeq lists it as uncharacterized. The record is from RefSeq and is a predicted model, not a curated record. NCBI's taxonomy places the organism in Eukaryota, Metazoa, Chordata, Mammalia, Primates, Hominidae. The transcript has 3 exons.